RNAcentral lists this ribosomal RNA (485 nucleotides) under uncultured bacterium. Its description in RNAcentral is "partial 16S ribosomal RNA". It matches the Rfam family "Bacterial small subunit ribosomal RNA", at positions 899 to 1397 of the family's 1533-position model. The record is from RNAcentral.
ACUCAAAGGAAUAGACGGGGACCCGCACAAGCAGAGGAUGAUGUGGUUUAAUAUGACGCUACGCGUAGAACCUUACCCAGGCUUGACAUCCUUGGAAUCCGGUGGAAACACUGGAGUGCCUUCGGGAGCCAAGUGACAGGUGCUGCAUGGCCGUCGUCAGCUCGUGUCGUGAGAUGUUGGGUUAAGUCCCGCAACGAGCGCAACCCUUAUCGUAUGUUGUAUUUUUCAUGCGAGACUGCCCGGGCCAACCGGGAGGAAGGUGGGGAUGAAGUCAGGUCGGCAUGGCCCUUACGCCUGGGGCCACACACGUCAUACAAUGGCCGGUACAACGCGCCGCGAACCCGCGAGGGGGAGCUAAUCGCACCAAAACCGGUCUCAGUUCGGAUUGGAGGCUGCAACUCGCCUCCAUGAAGUCGGAUUUGCUAGUAAACGUGGGUCAGCACACCGCGUUGAAUACGUUCCCGGGUCUUGCACACACCGCCCGU